This is a long non-coding RNA of Miniopterus natalensis, 642 nucleotides long. RefSeq lists it as uncharacterized. NCBI's taxonomy places the organism in Eukaryota, Metazoa, Chordata, Mammalia, Chiroptera, Miniopteridae. The record is from RefSeq and is a predicted model, not a curated record.
UCUCUCUCUCUCUGCCUUCCUCUCUCUGAAAUCAAUAAAGACAUUUUAAAAAGCAAAACAAAACAGGGAACCUUAACGUUUUUAUGAGGCCUAGUAUAACCCUGAUAAGAAAACCUGACAAGAACAGCAAACGGAAGGAAAAUUAGGAAAAUUAUAUGCCAGUUUUGCUCAUAAAUGUAGAUGUAGAAACUCGUAAGCAAAAGGUUAAGGAAAUCUAGCAUUACAUAAGGAUAAUACAUUAUGAGCAAGUUAGGUUAUUUUAACAUAAGAAUUAAAGGUAAUGAUUGAUGAAUGGAGAAAAUACCAUCUUGAAUGUAAAGAAACGAUUAAAAACUUGUUCAGCGUAGGUGCUCAUGGAAAACCAGGAGAUCACUUCAAAGUCGCCAGGAAUAUUUAUGAGUUCAUUUUGCAGUAGGAAAGAAUGUCUUCAAGGUAGCUGAGACCAGCUGCUGACACCCAGGAGUCUGAUGUGAAAAAGUGUUAUCUGUGAUUGAAGAAACACAGACUUCUCUCUCAGUUCCCUGGAACUCUCCCUCCCUCCUCCCCUUAAAACUCUUCUGCUUGGUAUGAAACUUCGGAGAUGGUCUUUGGACAGUAGCUCGACUGUCUUCCUGAAUAAAGCAAACUUUCCUUUUCACCCAA